RNAcentral lists this ribosomal RNA (507 nucleotides) under uncultured bacterium. RNAcentral describes it as "partial 16S ribosomal RNA". It matches the Rfam family "Bacterial small subunit ribosomal RNA", at positions 28 to 507 of the family's 1533-position model. The record is from RNAcentral.
GACGAACGCUGGCGGCGUGCCUAAUACAUGCAAGUCGAACGCAUUUUCUUUCACCGUAGCUUGCUACACCGAAAGAAAAUGAGUGGCGAACGGGUGAGUAACACGUGGGUAACCUGCCCAUCAGCGGGGGAUAACACUUGGAAACAGGUGCUAAUACCGCAUAAUUCCAUUUACCGCAUGGUAAAUGGAUGAAAGGCGCUUUUGCGUCACUGAUGGAUGGACCCGCGGUGCAUUAGCUAGUUGGUGGGGUAACGGCCUACCAAGGCUGCGAUGCAUAGCCGACCUGAGAGGGUGAUCGGCCACCCUGGGACUGAGACACGGCCCAGACUCCUACGGGAGGCAGCAGUAGGGAAUCUUCGGCAAUGGACGCAAGUCUGACCGAGCAACGCCGCGUGAGUGAAGAAGGGUUUCGGAUCGUAAAACUCUGUUGUUAGAGAAGAACAAGGAUGAGAGUGGAAAGUUCAUCCCUUGACGGUAUCUAACCAGAAAGCCACGGCUAACUACGUG